Molecule: ribosomal RNA, 474 nt
Filed under: Cladosporium cladosporioides
Lineage: Eukaryota; Fungi; Ascomycota; Dothideomycetes; Cladosporiales; Cladosporiaceae
Description: eukaryotic LSU rRNA
Rfam family: 5.8S ribosomal RNA (bases 139-292)
Source: RNAcentral
CCACCGGGAUGUUCAUAACCCUUUGUUGUCCGACUCUGUUGCCUCCGGGGCGACCCUGCCUUCGGGCGGGGGCUCCGGGUGGACACUUCAAACUCUUGCGUAACUUUGCAGUCUGAGUAAACUUAAUUAAUAAAUUAAAACUUUUAACAACGGAUCUCUUGGUUCUGGCAUCGAUGAAGAACGCAGCGAAAUGCGAUAAGUAAUGUGAAUUGCAGAAUUCAGUGAAUCAUCGAAUCUUUGAACGCACAUUGCGCCCCCUGGUAUUCCGGGGGGCAUGCCUGUUCGAGCGUCAUUUCACCACUCAAGCCUCGCUUGGUAUUGGGCAACGCGGUCCGCCGCGUGCCUCAAAUCGACCGGCUGGGUCUUCUGUCCCCUAAGCGUUGUGGAAACUAUUCGCUAAAGGGUGUUCGGGAGGCUACGCCGUAAAACAACCCCAUUUCUAAGGUUGACCUCGGAUCAGGUAGGGAUACCCGC